GGAAGGAAAACAAAGGCGGGAUCCAGGGAAACCACAGCAGGAACAUCGGAACUAGAGGAGCCUUAGGGGACAGUCUAGCUUUUUGUCUUUCAACCCUAGCGCUGAACCUUCCACAAAAGCUAGCCAUUAGAGGGAGUGCUGGGCUGAGCAGCAGCAGGAAGGGAACUUAAACUCCUAGCGGGUGAGAUGGGCAGCCACAGCAGACAAGGGCAGGAACACCUAGGCUGAGGGAGCUGCUGCCCAUUUUGCACAAAGAAGUGACUUCUGACAGUGACACCUAUGCUGUGGAGGAUUCCAGAGGGGAAGACCGAAGCAUCCCACAACCAGGACACUUCCCAGAAAGUCCCUUAGGAGACACAGCACUGCUUUGGAGAGAGAUUCUACAGCCCCCAAAGAAUUCUGCAUCUUCCUUCUGAGGCUGGCCUCCCCGCUCAUGGUGACAAUACAGCUGCUGCAGCUCAAUACACUCCUCCCAGGUACUUGAUUCCAGCAAGCAUGGUCUCCAGCAAGGAACACAGAAUGCAGGAGUCCAGUUCCCACCCUGACCUACAGCCAGGAA
This is a long non-coding RNA of Prionailurus viverrinus (fishing cat), 559 nucleotides long. RefSeq lists it as uncharacterized. The record is from RefSeq and is a predicted model, not a curated record. NCBI's taxonomy places the organism in Eukaryota, Metazoa, Chordata, Mammalia, Carnivora, Felidae. The transcript is spliced from 5 exons.